This 429-nucleotide ribosomal RNA is filed under the name Gemmatimonadota bacterium. RNAcentral describes it as "Gemmatimonadetes bacterium partial 16S ribosomal RNA". It matches the Rfam family "Bacterial small subunit ribosomal RNA", at positions 355 to 776 of the family's 1533-position model. Lineage: Bacteria; Pseudomonadati; Gemmatimonadota. The record is from RNAcentral.
UAGGGAAUCUUCGGCAAUGGACGAAAGUCUGACCGAGCAACGCCGCGUGAGUGAAGAAGGUUUUCGGAUCGUAAAACUCUGUUGUUAGAGGAGAACAAGGACGUUAGUAACUGAACGUCCCCUGACGGUAUCUAACCAGAAAGCCACGGCUAACUACGUGCCAGCAGCCGCGGUAAUACGUAGGUGGCAAGCGUUGUCCGGAUUUAUUGGGCGUAAAGCGAGCGCAGGCGGUUUCUUAAGUCUGAUGUGAAAGCCCCCGGCUCAACCGGGGAGGGUCAUUGGAAACUGGGAGCCUUGAGUGCAGAAGAGGAGAGUGGAAUUCCAUGUGUAGCGGUGAAAUGCGUAAAUAUAUGGAGGAACACCAGUGGCAAAGGCGGCUCUCUGGUCUGUAACUGAAGCUGAGGCUCGAAAGCGUGGGGAGCAAACAGG